UGCGUACCUUUUGUAUAAUGGGUCAGCGACUUAUAUUCUGUAGCAAGGUUAACCGAAUAGGGGAGCCGAAGGGAAACCGAGUCUUAACUGGGCGUUAAGUUGCAGGGUAUAGACCCGAAACCCGGUGAUCUAGCCAUGGGCAGGUUGAAGGUUGGGUAACACUAACUGGAGGACCGAACCGACUAAUGUUGAAAAAUUAGCGGAUGACUUGUGGCUGGGGGUGAAAGGCCAAUCAAACCGGGAGAUAGCUGGUUCUCCCCGAAAGCUAUUUAGGUAGCGCCUCGUGAAUUCAUCUCCGGGGGUAGAGCACUGUUUCGGCAAGGGGGUCAUCCCGACUUACCAACCCGAUGCAAACUGCGAAUACCGGAGAAUGUUAUCACGGGAGACACACGGCGGGUGCUAACGUCCGUCGUGAAGAGGGAAACAACCCAGACCGCCAGCUAAGGUCCCAAAGUCAUGGUUAAGUGGGAAACGAUGUGGGAAGGCCCAGACAGCCAGGAUGUUGGCUUAGAAGCAGCCAUCAUUUAAAGAAAGCGUAAUAGCUCACUGGUCGAGUCGGCCUGCGCGGAAGAUGUAACGGGGCUAAACCAUGCACCGAAGCUGCGGCAGCGACGCUUAUGCGUUGUUGGGUAGGGGAGCGUUCUGUAAGCCUGUGAAGGUGUGCUGUGAGGCAUGCUGGAGGUAUCAGAAGUGCGAAUGCUGACAUAAGUAACGAUAAAGCGGGUGAAAAGCCCGCUCGCCGGAAGACCAAGGGUUCCUGUCCAACGUUAAUCGGGGCAGGGUGAGUCGACCCCUAAGGCGAGGCCGAAAGGCGUAGUCGAUGGGAAACAGGUUAAUAUUCCUGUACUUGGUGUUACUGCGAAGGGGGGACGGAGAAGGCUAUGUUGGCCGGGCGACGGUUGUCCCGGUUUAAGCGUGUAGGCUGGUUUUCCAGGCAAAUCCGGAAAACCAAGGCUGAGGCGUGAUGACGAGGCACUACGGUGCUGAAGC
Molecule: ribosomal RNA, 990 nt
Filed under: Escherichia coli
Lineage: Bacteria; Pseudomonadati; Pseudomonadota; Gammaproteobacteria; Enterobacterales; Enterobacteriaceae
Description: partial 23S ribosomal RNA
Rfam family: Bacterial large subunit ribosomal RNA
Source: RNAcentral